This 392-nucleotide ribosomal RNA is filed under the name uncultured bacterium. Its description in RNAcentral is "partial 16S ribosomal RNA". It matches the Rfam family "Bacterial small subunit ribosomal RNA", at positions 523 to 918 of the family's 1533-position model. The record is from RNAcentral.
AUACGGAGGAUCCGAGCGUUAUCCGGAUUUAUUGGGUUUAAAGGGUGCGCAGGCGGCCAUUUAAGUCAGCGGUUAAAUCGUGGGGCUCAACCCCAUUCUGCCGUUGAUACUGGGUGGCUUGAUUGCGGUCGAGGUUGGCGGACUUCGUUGUGUAGCGGUGAAAUGCAUAGAUAUUACACAGAACGCCGAUUGUGAAGACACCUCACGAAGCGGUAACUGACGCUGAGGCACGAAAGCGUGGGGAUCGAACAGGAUUAGAUACCCUGGUAGUCCACGCAGUAAACGAUGAUGACUAACCGUCGGCGAUAGACCGCCGGUGGCCAAGCGAAAGCGAUAAGUCAUCCACCUGGGGAGUACGACCGCAAGGUUGAAACUCAAAUGAAUUGACGGGG